AAUUAGAAUCUGAGGUUGAUAGAAAAAUGUUUUCAUUGACGCACUUUCUAUUUGUUCCAGGUCAUGGAUUUCACAGAUCAUGUUUGGACAGAGUGCAUGUCACCUGUUCUAGGAAGAUGGAUGCAUCUUGAUCCUUGUGAAGGAAUAUACGACAAUCCUUUGCUAUAUGAGAAAGGGUAGAAAGAGAAUUUGAAUUAUGUAAUUGCUUUUGCAAAAGAUGGAGUGUAUGACGUCACUAAACGUUACACCAGAAAGUGGCAUGAGGUUCUGUCUCGGAGAAACAUUACUACGGAGCCCAUCCUGUCUAUUAUUCUCUCGGACAUAAGAAGAGAAUGUCGACAGAAUUUAACAUCUCAAGUGAUUUCUGC
Non-coding RNA from Camellia sinensis, 368 nucleotides. The record is from RefSeq and is a predicted model, not a curated record. Lineage: Eukaryota; Viridiplantae; Streptophyta; Magnoliopsida; Ericales; Theaceae.